RNAcentral lists this ribosomal RNA (468 nucleotides) under uncultured bacterium. RNAcentral describes it as "partial 16S ribosomal RNA". It matches the Rfam family "Bacterial small subunit ribosomal RNA", at positions 28 to 507 of the family's 1533-position model. The record is from RNAcentral.
GACGAACGCUGGCGGCGUGCUUAACACAUGCAAGUCGAACGGAAAGGCCCUGCUUUUGUGGGGUGCUCGAGUGGCGAACGGGUGUGUAACACGUGAGUAACCUGCCCCUGACUUUGGUAUAACUUGAGGAAACUGGGGCUAAUACCGGAUAGGCGCUCCUGCUGCAUGGUGGGGGUUGGAAAGUUUGGUCGGUUGGGGUUGGACUCGCGGCUUAUCUGUUGGUGGGGGGGGGAGUGGCUUACCAAGGCUCUGAUGGGUGGCCGGCCUGAGAGGGUGACCGGCCACAUUGGGACUGAGAUACGGCCCAGACUCCUACGGGAGGCAGCAGUGGGGAAUAUUGCACAAUGGGCGGAAGCCUGAUGCAGCAACGCCGCGUGCGGGAUGACGGCCUUCGGGUUGUAAACCGCUUUCGCCUGUGACGAAGCGUGAGUGACGGUAAUGGGUAAAGAAGCACCGGCUAACUACGUG